Molecule: long non-coding RNA, 335 nt
Filed under: Theobroma cacao (cacao)
Lineage: Eukaryota; Viridiplantae; Streptophyta; Magnoliopsida; Malvales; Malvaceae
Description: long non-coding RNA (TCAC_LNC000143)
Source: RNAcentral
CUGAGCUUCUCAGUCCAUUGCCAAUGGCAGGACUUGAGAACUGCCCUGAGUUGGAGGAGAUUCGAAUAAAGGUAGAAGGAGAUUGCAGGGGGCGCCCCAAACCACGCGAACGUGCCUUUGGAUUGAGCUACCUUGCACGCUACCCUAGGCUGUCAAAGAUGCGAUUAGAUUGUGGUGAAACCAUAGGUUAUGCACUCACAGCACCGUCAGGCGAAAUGGAUUUAAGCUUGUGGGAAAGGUUUUACCUCAACGGCAUUGGGAAUUUGAGGCUAAAUGAACUAGAUUAUUGGCCUCCACAAGACAGGGACGUGAACCAGAGGAGUCUAUCGCUGCCU